This 408-nucleotide unclassified non-coding RNA is filed under the name Zea mays. RNAcentral describes it as "misc RNA Zm00001eb310100". Lineage: Eukaryota; Viridiplantae; Streptophyta; Magnoliopsida; Poales; Poaceae. The record is from RNAcentral.
UCUGUUCUUCCACGCAGCACCAGACGCACGACUCUCCUCUGUCUUCUCUGUGCCGCCUCCUCGCCGAGCUGCGCGCUGCCAACCGCGCUGGUGAACUCGCCCGGUCCGGCGCACUGCUCAUCUCGGCUCCUUUGGAAAUCCUUCGCGAACGUCUCGCCAAGUUGUCAGGCCCGUCUUCGAGUUUGGUGGAGUCCCAAGCUUGCGCGCCGUCGGCCUCUUCCUCCUGUGUCCUAACGUCGUCGUCCCUGCUCACUUCAUCCAACUGCUCCCUUCAUCUCGGCCGAACUCGACGUCCAGCAAGCCGCCUGCUCGUGUUCCAUCUCUUCAACCAUCAGCUUCCGUGGAACACACUGAUCACGUUGUCUGUUGAUCAAUCACUUGGUGGAGUAAUUUUCUAGAGACCGGUCA